RNAcentral lists this ribosomal RNA (422 nucleotides) under uncultured bacterium. Its description in RNAcentral is "bacterial SSU rRNA". It matches the Rfam family "Bacterial small subunit ribosomal RNA", at positions 355 to 773 of the family's 1533-position model. The record is from RNAcentral.
UGAGGAAUAUUGGUCAAUGGGCGCGAGCCUGAACCAGCCAAGUAGCGUGAAGGAUGAAGGUCCUAUGGAUUGUAAACUUCUUUUAUAGCAGAAUAAAGUGACCCACGUGUGGGUUUUUGUAUGUAUGCUAUGAAUAAGGAUCGGCUAACUCCGUGCCAGCAGCCGCGGUAAUACGGAGGAUCCGAGCGUUAUCCGGAUUUAUUGGGUUUAAAGGGUGCGUAGGCGGAAAGAUAAGUCAGCCUGUGAAAGUUUGCGGCUCAACCGUAAAAUUGCAGUUGAUACUGUUUUUCUUGAGUGUACAUAAGGUAGGCGGAAUUCGUGGUGUAGCGGUGAAAUGCUUAGAUAUCACGAAGAACUCCGAUUGCGAAGGCAGCUUACCGGGGUACAACUGACGCUGAUGCACGAAAGUGUGGGUAUCAAAC